Molecule: non-coding RNA, 1685 nt
Organism: Chiloscyllium plagiosum (whitespotted bambooshark)
Lineage: Eukaryota; Metazoa; Chordata; Chondrichthyes; Orectolobiformes; Hemiscylliidae
Source: RefSeq, a predicted model, not a curated record
UCUUAGUGCUUGACUAUGUCUGGAAGAGGAAAGGGCAGUGGGAAAGCUCGCUCCAAGGCGAAGUCUCGGUCGUCCCGGGCUGGCCUGCAGUUCCCGGUGGGCCGUGUUCACAGGCUCCUGAGAAAGGGUAACUAUGCUGAGCGUGUGGGUGCCGGGGCGCCGGUCUAUGUGGCUGCGGUGCUGGAGUAUCUGACGGCUGAAAUCCUGGAGCUGGCCGGCAACGCGGCCCGGGACAACAAGAAGACCCGCAUCAUCCCCAGGCACCUGCAGCUGGCCGUGCGCAACGACGAGGAGCUCAACAAGCUGCUGGGAGGGGUGACCAUCGCUCAGGGCGGGGUGCUGCCUAAUAUCCAGGCCGUGCUGCUGCCCAAGAAGACCACCGCUGCGGGAGCCACUAAAAAGUGAAGAGACCAUUCUUGAAUCUGACAACCCAAAGGCUCUUUUAAGAGCCACUCACAGCAUCUGUGAAAGGAGCUAAACUCUGUCGGAUUGAUUAUUUUUCCUUUAAUGUGGAGAGCCCUCGCCUUUGUACCGGACAUCAAUGAAUUCCACACUCCAUUUAAUUGGAUACUGUUGCUGUCCGUUAUCAGAGGACGAAUUUAUCAUCAAAUGUCAUUUUGAGUGUCCUGAAAUUAUAGGAUUUUCUUAUUGAAUGGUCACUGCCUGAGUGAUCUCUGUCUUCAGUUAUAGACUGGCGACAUGAACGUCUGCGAUCUGGUUUGACCUCACAUUAGAUUCACAUUUCCUUUAAGUGCAGUAGGAAGAGCUGGGUUGACCCAGUGCAGUAACGGGUCAGUCGCUGCAGAAUACAGUAAGGACCCUCUGCGCUUUAUUCUCUGCUCGGUUCAUAUUCAGUCUUUUAUCCCCUGUCUCUGGAGAGGGAGAGAGCAGAUUGAACAGCAGUGAGACAUUUUCAGCUUUAAGGGCGGGAAUGGGAUGAAGUGAAAUUGUCUGAACUUUAAUUUCGUAAUCGAAAAAGCAAUCCAGGUGUACGUGCUCAUUUAUUCUCCUCUGUAAAACUUGCUGCCCUUUUAUAUGUGAUGGCGGGCAUUUUCAACUUUGAAAAUAAGCUGUUAGUCUCUUGACGCCAUUUAUUCCUUUUCCCUCCUGCCUCCACCUCACCACAAGCCAUGUUAACGCAAAGGGAGUCAAUGAGGAGGUUAUUACUUGCCCGAAGACAAUUUGUAACCGCUGUCUGAACGGGCAGAUGGAAAGAACGCGCCAUUAAAACAUCCGUCGGCUCCCAGAAACAGAACUGAGCCGAGAAUGAUGCCUCGGAAAUAGGAAUACUGCAAUACGUAACAUUAAUGUCUGGAUUCUACAAUAAAUAAAACUAUUCAUGGCAUGGACAACAAAGUAUGCAUUGAUAUUACUAGAUAGACAGUUACUCACGAGAAAGAGGAUCGAAGGUUACGGGGAGCAGGCACAAGAAUAAGUUUGAGAAACAUUGACAGGACCGAAUGGCCAAAUGUUGUUUCUGCAUUUUAAAAGUCAUGAUGCAAUUCUUUACAUGGAAUAACUAGAUUACAGUAGUCUUGAAUUGCCGAAUAGCUUAUUAUCUACACUGUAGGAAUACUUGCAAUUAUGAAAUCAUUGGCUACCGUAAACAGCAAUAAAGCGGAUCCACGGUGAAUGCUCUCGGAAAUAUGAAUACUGCAAAUUGAAACAUUGCAGUAACCAGCUGC